AGAGUUUGAUCCUGGCUCAGGAUGAACGCUAGCGGCAGGCCUAAUACAUGCAAGUCGUACGGGAACCCCUCCCUCGGGAGGGGUGAGAGUGGCGGACGGGUGCGUUACGCGUAUGCAACCAACCCCCGACGGGCGUACAGCCGGUGGAAACGCCGGGUGAUGCGCCAUGCGGCCGGGAGAGGGCAUCCUCUUUCGGCGAAAGCCCUUGGGCGGUCGGGGACGGGCAUGCGUGCCAUUAGCUUGUUGGCGGGGCGACGGCCCACCAAGGCUACGAUGGCUAGGGGUUCUGAGAGGAAGGUCCCCCACAUUGGAACUGAGACACGGUCCAAACUCCUACGGGAGGCAGCAGUGAGGAAUAUUGGUCAAUGGACGGAAGUCUGAACCAGCCAAGUAGCGUGCAGGAAGACGGCCCUAUGGGUUGUAAACUGCUUUUAUGCGGGGAUAAACUGGCCUACGCGUAGGCCGUUGCAGGUACCGCAUGAAUAAGGACCGGCUAAUUCCGUGCC
This 506-nucleotide ribosomal RNA is filed under the name uncultured organism. RNAcentral's name for it is "SSU rRNA". It matches the Rfam family "Bacterial small subunit ribosomal RNA", at positions 8 to 509 of the family's 1533-position model. The record is from RNAcentral.